UAAACCAGGAUUAGAUACCCUAUUAUAUUUAAACAAAUUGGGUAGUAUUAUUAAUAAAAACCUUUAUACUUUGGCGGCAUUUUAUCUUAUUAGAGGAAUAUGUUCAUUAAUCGAAACCACACGAUAGUUUUUACUUACUAUAAAAUUUUAUAUACCCCCGUCUAAAGAAUUUAUUUAAAAUUUUUAUUCCAAAUUAUAUUAAAAAAAGUUAGGUAAAGGUGUAGACUAUUAGUAAGAUUAAAUGUAUUACAUUAAAAAAAAAUUUAAGGAUAAAACAGUUAACUGUUUAUUAAAAGAGGAUUUAUAAGUAAUUUACUUUUAAUAAAAAUUAAUGAAUAAGAAAAUAAAUGUGCACAUAUCGCCCGUCAC
RNAcentral lists this ribosomal RNA (369 nucleotides) under Sancus acoreensis. RNAcentral describes it as "partial 12S ribosomal RNA". The record is from RNAcentral. Lineage: Eukaryota; Metazoa; Arthropoda; Arachnida; Araneae; Tetragnathidae.